UGAAUCGUUUGAGAACGUUUGUCGAAGUGAUUGGCUCAUUCAUAGCUCCAGUGGAUUUUCUUUAUGGCAUAGCUGUUCUGUACGUCUGCUUAUCAGAAGAUCUAGCUUUGGGUUUGAAGCUAAAAUUUGUAGCAGGAUCGUUGGGAUCUACGUUUUCAACAUUCAUCUUCUACUGGGCUGGGCAAAAAUUGGAUGAUGCGAUACACGAAGUGUCGGUUGCUGUGUACUCUACACCUUGGUAUUGGUCAGUAAAGGUGCGAAAAAAUGUUUACAUGUUGCUCUGCCAUUGCCAUACGGUGAAGAGUUUUUCCAUCUUGAAGAUAUACGGAUUACAAUUGCAGAAUUUUUCACGGUACUGUAAUGGAGUCAUGACCUAUGCGAAUUUAUUGCGCAAACUCACCAGCAAAUAAACACUAAUAUUGAUAAGAUUGGAAAUUCUGCACAUUCAGAAACACCUACAUACGUGUAGAUUUAAUCGUUACGAUCAACCUUUUAUCCAUGUAAUUUAUUAUUUACUGACUUCUAUUUUAUAAUUUCUCACUAAAAAGCUCUUUAUCAGCCAGGAAGGACGAAAUUUUGAGUUUUUUGGUGGUGGUGGGAGGGGGAGAAGAUGGAGUAGAAAUAUUGAGAUUUUAAAAAAAUUUAGUUCAUUUGAUUGAAAGUUUGAAUAGCUGACAUCUUAAUUAUAAAACGAGAAGACUAUUAUAGAAAGAAGGAAAAAAAAAACAGAUUUGUUGGAAUCAAAGCUAAAUCCUUUCUGCUUCUUUCGAGGGCAUCUUUUAUGGCAAACAAAAAUAAAAAUGUGGUGAAAAUUUCUAAAUACUGCAGGUUUUUUUACAGAUUGGGCUGUCACUUCUCAAAAAUUUGGGAAAAAAUCAUGUAUUAUAAAAAACCGGAAAAUAGACAAGAAAUUUUCUAGUUUUAAAAAUUUUACGCUGUCGCAGGAAAUUCUAAAAUAGUGGACAAAUAUUUUCUUUGCUUUUUUCUCCCUUUCUCGAGCAAUCCUGAAAAAUGAAUCUUACAAAAAAUCAUUCUUUUAACAUUCUGCUCGCCGCGAAUAUGAUUCGUCAUAUUUACGGCAAACUGGGUAUGCAAUUUUAAUAACACGUCUCGUCACACAGGGGUUCCCAAUCAGCGAACAGCGGUCAGAAUACCAAUACGUUAUUCAGAGCAUUGAAAUUUCAGAUAAUGGUGGGGUUUUAAAAAAAUCUACAGAGAGUAUGCCUGGAAGGAUUUUUAUUCGUUCAUUUUAUUU
Planococcus citri (citrus mealybug) is the source of this 1255-nucleotide long non-coding RNA. RefSeq lists it as uncharacterized. Lineage: Eukaryota; Metazoa; Arthropoda; Insecta; Hemiptera; Pseudococcidae. The record is from RefSeq and is a predicted model, not a curated record. The transcript is spliced from 3 exons.